GUGCCAGCCGCCGCGGUAAUACGGUAUGGUGCAAGCGUUAUCCGGAUUUACUGGGUGUAAAGGGAGCGCAGGCGGUACGGCAAGUCUGAUGUGAAAGCCCGGGGCUCAACCCCGGUACUGCAUUGGAAACUGUCGGACUAGAGUGUCGGAGGGGUAAGUGGAAUUCCUAGUGUAGCGGUGAAAUGCGUAGAUAUUAGGAGGAACACCAGUGGCGAAGGCGGCUUACUGGACGAUUACUGACGCUGAGGCUCGAAAGCGUGGGGAGCAAACAGGAUUAGAUACCCCUGGUAGUCCAUGCCGUAAACGAUGAAUACUAGGUGUCGGGGGAGCAUUGCUCUUCGGUGCCGCAGCAAACGCAAAUAAGUAUUCCACCUGGGGAUACGUUCGCAAGAAUGAAACUUAAAUGAAUUGACGGG
Molecule: ribosomal RNA, 416 nt
Filed under: uncultured bacterium
Lineage: Bacteria
Description: bacterial SSU rRNA
Rfam family: Bacterial small subunit ribosomal RNA
Source: RNAcentral